AGCAGCCGCGGUAAUUCCAGCUCCAAUAGCGUAUAUUAAAGUUGUUGCAGUUAAAAAGCUCGUAGUUGAAUUUCGGAAUCAGAUUGUCGGUCGUGCCUCGGUACGCACUGGCAUUAUUGGUUCCUACCUUCUGAAGAACCGCGAUGUCAUUAAUUUGGUGUCGUGGGGAAUCAGGACUGUUACUUUGAAAAAAUUAGAGUGUUUAAAGCAGGCGCACGCUUGAAUACAUUAGCAUGGAAUAAUGAAAUAGGACGUUUGAUUCUAUUUUGUUGGUUUCUAGGAUCGACGUAAUGAUUAAUAGGGAUAGUUGGGGGCAUUAGUAUUCAAUUGUCAGAGGUGAAAUUCUUGGAUUUAUUGAAGACUAACUACUGCGAAAGCAUUUGCCAAGGAUGUUUUCAUUAAUCAAGAACGAAAGUUAGGGGGAUCGAAGACGAUCAGAUACCGUCGUAGUCUUAACCAUAAACUAAUGCCGACUAGGGAUCGGAUGAUGUUAAUUUUUUAAAUGACUCGCUCGGC
This 516-nucleotide ribosomal RNA is filed under the name uncultured Glomus. RNAcentral's name for it is "SSU rRNA". It matches the Rfam family "Eukaryotic small subunit ribosomal RNA", at positions 569 to 1084 of the family's 1831-position model. The record is from RNAcentral. Lineage: Eukaryota; Fungi; Glomeromycota; Glomeromycetes; Glomerales; Glomeraceae.